GUGAUCUGAGUUCAGACCGGAGCAAUCCAGGUCAGUUUCUAUCUAUAAAGGGCUUAUUCCAGUACGAAAGGACCGAAAAAGCGUGGCCAAUGUACUAAUAAGCCACAUAACCAAUCUAUGCCCAAGACUUAAUAAACAAUUAACCUUCCAUUCUUCCCAAAACAAGGGAC
Molecule: ribosomal RNA, 170 nt
Filed under: Myersiohyla liliae
Lineage: Eukaryota; Metazoa; Chordata; Amphibia; Anura; Hylidae
Description: partial 16S ribosomal RNA
Source: RNAcentral